This 269-nucleotide ribosomal RNA is filed under the name uncultured prokaryote. Its description in RNAcentral is "partial 16S ribosomal RNA". It matches the Rfam family "Bacterial small subunit ribosomal RNA", at positions 524 to 792 of the family's 1533-position model. The record is from RNAcentral.
UACGUAGGUGGCGAGCGUUGUCCGGAUUUACUGGGCGUAAAGGGAGCGUAGGCGGACUUUUAAGUGAGAUGUGAAAUACCCGGGCUCAACUUGGGUGCUGCAUUUCAAACUGGAAGUCUAGAGUGCAGGAGAGGAGAAUGGAAUUCCUAGUGUAGCGGUGAAAUGCGUAGAGAUUAGGAAGAACACCAGUGGCGGAGGCGAUUCUCUGGACUGUAACUGACGCUGAGGAGCGAAAGCAUGGGUAGCGAACAGGAUUAGAUACCCCGGUA